This 368-nucleotide ribosomal RNA is filed under the name uncultured organism. RNAcentral describes it as "partial 16S ribosomal RNA". It matches the Rfam family "Bacterial small subunit ribosomal RNA", at positions 527 to 896 of the family's 1533-position model. The record is from RNAcentral.
GUAGGUGGCAAGCGUUGUCCGGAAUUAUUGGGCGUAAAGCGCGCGCAGGCGGUUCUUUAAGUCUGAUGUGAAAGCCCACGGCUCAACCGUGGAGGGUCAUUGGAAACUGGAGAACUUGAGUACAGAAGAGGAAAGCGGAAUUCCACGUGUAGCGGUGAAAUGCGUAGAGAUGUGGAGGAACACCAGUGGCGAAGGCGGCUUUCUGGUCUGUAACUGACGCUGAGGCGCGAAAGCGUGGGGAGCAAACAGGAUUAGAUACCCUGGUAGUCCACGCCGUAAACGAUGAGUGCUAAGUGUUAGGGGGUUUCCGCCCCUUAGUGCUGCAGCUAACGCAUUAAGCACUCCGCCUGGGAUACGGCGCAAGGCUG